Molecule: ribosomal RNA, 245 nt
Filed under: uncultured bacterium
Lineage: Bacteria
Description: partial 16S ribosomal RNA
Rfam family: Bacterial small subunit ribosomal RNA
Source: RNAcentral
GACGAACCGUGCAAACGUUGUUCGGAUUCACUGGGCUUAAAGGGCGCGUAGGCGGCUUGCCAAGUCAGGGGUGAAAUCUUUCGGCUUAACCGGAAAAUCGCUUUUGAUACUGGCGGGCUGGAGGGAGGUAGGGGCAGGUGGAACUUCCGGUGGAGCGGUGAAAUGCGUAGAUAUCGGAAGGAACGCCGGUGGCGAAAGCGACCUGCUGGACCUCUACUGACGCUGAGGCGCGAAAGCCAGGGGAG